Non-coding RNA from Camelina sativa (false flax), 1555 nucleotides. NCBI's taxonomy places the organism in Eukaryota, Viridiplantae, Streptophyta, Magnoliopsida, Brassicales, Brassicaceae. The record is from RefSeq and is a predicted model, not a curated record.
UUGGUGUGUGAACGUGAAUAUCUUGGGCGAUUGAAUAUUUUAGCUUUGAAAAAUGAAAAUUUUGGAUAUUUUAUGAGUGAAAUUUUGGUUUUUGUACUUUAUUCCAGGAUCACCAUCUGCGAAAUCACCCUUGUUACCUCCGCCUUUGUCUCGCCAACCACGACAAAAGGCAAAAACCUUCAACUAGCACUAGGAUUCAUUCAUCACCUGCUCUUGCUCUGCUUACACUCUCCUUCAGCUCAGCCAACUAUGAGUCAAGUAGUGGCUGAGCUGAAGGAGAGUGUAAGCAGAGCAAGAGCAGGUGAUGGUUCCGCUGCUAGUAGUGUUACAGAACCGGCGAUGAUAAGUUUUAAUUCGGGAAUGUUUCCUCGAGCAAGUUUCUUUGUGUUAUUAUCUACAAAACUUAUUAGUUUGACACUUUCAUUGUCAACUAAUCAUGAGUACUCAUUCUUUGGUUAUUAAACAAUUAGCCCACUUGAAGAUGACAAAAGACCACUAGAAGUCGUCCUUGUGUACGAACCACAAGGGAGGUCUUGGAAUAUCCCAACUUGCCCUUUUGACUUGAGAUUUGUUUUAUAGUUACUUGAUUUCAAAAGAUAGUGCUUCACCAUCAGCCAACAUGGCUAUAGUAUAAUCUUUUACUAUUAAAGUAUAUUGGAGCAAGAAGUACAAGCUAGCUUUGCAAAGGUUGCUUUGUAUUGAUUGUUCUAUGAGAAACGGAUGAUCAAGAGCUUUUGUCACUAAUGGCGUAUUACAACCUUCUUCCUCUGAUUUCAUUCGCAACCUUCUUCUCUGUUUUUUUCCUUCUUGUUGUUCGUUCUCAAGACCAAUCAGGUACACAAAGUGAUCUUGCAAUUGUAUAUCAAUAUGUAGCUGUGUGUGUUAAGGCUUUCACUCUCUAUGUGUGUGUUUGUGUUACAGGUUUUGUCAGUAUAGAUUGCGGUGUACCUGAGGAUUCAAGCUAUAACGAUGAAACAACAGAUAUAAAGUAUGUUUCAGAUGCUGCAUUUGUGAGUCCGGGACAAUUCAUAGCAUAGAUUCUAAGUUUCAGUCGACUUCUCUUGAAAAGCAGUUCCAAAACGUUAGGAGUUUUCCUGAAGGCAAAAGAAACUGUUACGAUGUGCAGCCUCCGCGUGGAAAAGGCUUCAAGUACUUGAUCAGGACUCGUUUCAUGUACGGUAACUACGAUGAUCUAGGGAAAGCACCCGAGUUCGAUCUGUAUCUUGGAGUCAAUCUAUGGGAUUCUGUUACGAUAGACAAUGCAACUAUGAUCGUAACUAAAGAGAUCAUCCACACUCUUCGGUCAGACCACGUUUAUGUGUGUCUUGUUGAUAAAGAAAAAGGAACUCCAUUCUUGUCUGUGUUAGAACUCAGGCUCUUGAAGAGCGACACUUAUGUAACUCCUUAUGAUUCUCUUAUGCUUUAUCGAAGAUGGGAUCUCGGCGCACUCGGAGAUCUUCUUAUCAGCAAGAAGUAAGAAACAUGCAAACCCCGUACUUUAAUAUAAUCAGAAAUCCAUACAGAGCAUCACACAACUUAACCAAAGAAGAGCAUA